This 508-nucleotide ribosomal RNA is filed under the name Metarhizium anisopliae. Its description in RNAcentral is "eukaryotic LSU rRNA". The stretch from base 152 to 305 matches the Rfam family "5.8S ribosomal RNA". The record is from RNAcentral. Lineage: Eukaryota; Fungi; Ascomycota; Sordariomycetes; Hypocreales; Clavicipitaceae.
GGAGGGAUCAUUACCGAGUUAUCCAACUCCCAACCCCUGUGAAUUAUACCUUUAAUUGUUGCUUCGGCGGGACUUCGCGCCCGCCGGGGACCCAAACCUUCUGAAUUUUUUUAAUAAGUAUCUUCUGAGUGGUUUAAAAAAAAUGAAUCAAAACUUUCAACAACGGAUCUCUUGGUUCUGGCAUCGAUGAAGAACGCAGCGAAAUGCGAUAAGUAAUGUGAAUUGCAGAAUUCAGUGAAUCAUCGAAUCUUUGAACGCACAUUGCGCCCGUCAGUAUUCUGGCGGGCAUGCCUGUUCGAGCGUCAUUACGCCCCCCAAGUCCCCUGUGGACUUGGUGUUGGGGAUCGGCGAGGCUGGUUUUCCAGCACAGCCGUCCCUUAAAUUGAUUGGCGGUCUCGCCGCGGCCCUCCUCUGCGCAGUAGUAAAACACUCACAACAGGAGCCCGGCGCGGUCCACUGCCGUAAAACCCCCCAACUUUUUAUAGUUGACCUCGAAUCAGGUAGGACU